Molecule: ribosomal RNA, 429 nt
Filed under: Chloroflexota bacterium
Lineage: Bacteria; Bacillati; Chloroflexota
Description: Chloroflexi bacterium partial 16S ribosomal RNA
Rfam family: Bacterial small subunit ribosomal RNA
Source: RNAcentral
UGGGGAAUAUUGCACAAUGGGCGCAAGCCUGAUGCAGCCAUGCCGCGUGUAUGAAGAAGGCCUUCGGGUUGUAAAGUACUUUCAGUCGGGAGGAAGGUGGUAAGGUUAAUAACCUUAUUAAUUGACGUUACCGACAGAAGAAGCACCGGCUAACUCCGUGCCAGCAGCCGCGGUAAUACGUAGGUGGCAAGCGUUGUCCGGAUUUAUUGGGCGUAAAGCGAGCGCAGGCGGUUUGUUAAGUCAGAUGUGAAAUCCCCGGGCUCAACCUGGGAACUGCAUCUGAUACUGGCAAGCUUGAGUCUCGUAGAGGGGGGUAGAAUUCCAGGUGUAGCGGUGAAAUGCGUAGAGAUCUGGAGGAAUACCGGUGGCGAAGGCGGCCCCCUGGACGAAGACUGACGCUCAGGUGCGAAAGCGUGGGGAGCAAACAGG